This 508-nucleotide ribosomal RNA is filed under the name uncultured bacterium. RNAcentral describes it as "partial 16S ribosomal RNA". It matches the Rfam family "Bacterial small subunit ribosomal RNA", at positions 30 to 523 of the family's 1533-position model. The record is from RNAcentral.
AUUGAACGCUGGCGGCACGCCUUACACAUGCAAGUCGAACGGCAGCGGGGGAGAAGCUUGCUUUUCCUGCCGGCGAGUGGCGAACGGGUGAGUAAUACAUCGGAACGUGCCCUGUAGUGGGGGAUAACUAGUCGAAAGAUUAGCUAAUACCGCAUACGACCUGAGGGUGAAAGUGGGGAACCGCAAGGCCUCAUGCUAUAGGAGCGGCCGACGUCUGAUUAGCUAGUUGGUGGGGUAAAGGCCUACCAAGGCGACGAUCAGUAGCUGGUCUGAGAGGACGAUCAGCCACACUGGGACUGAGACACGGCCCAGACUCCUACGGGAGGCAGCAGUGGGGAAUUUUGGACAAUGGGCGAAAGCCUGAUCCAGCAAUGCCGCGUGUGUGAAGAAGGCCUUCGGGUUGUAAAGCACUUUUGUCCGGAAAGAAAUGGCUCUGGUUAAUACCUGGGGUCGAUGACGGUACCGGAAGAAUAAGGACCGGCUAACUACGUGCCAGCAGCCGCCGUAA